Molecule: long non-coding RNA, 294 nt
Filed under: Sinocyclocheilus grahami
Lineage: Eukaryota; Metazoa; Chordata; Actinopteri; Cypriniformes; Cyprinidae
Description: lncRNA (ENSSGRG00000033784.1)
Source: RNAcentral
CAACUACUACAUGUAUGGCUCUGACAGCAGUAACACCCUGACUGUGUUGGCCAAACGUCCUGGCUCUGAGGAACAAAUGUGGCAAAAAACUGGGAUACAAAGCCCAUCAUGGCUUGGAGCCUCUGUCACAGUGCCCAUACCAGCUGGACAGACUGCUCAGAUUGUGUUUCAAGCAAUGCGUGGGUUCUCUUCAUCAUGUGACACUGCCCUGGAUAACAUUGUCAUCACCGAGGGAGCCUGUGCUGGCUGUAUAGCUGGGUGUGAUUUUGAUGAUACUGAUGAAUGUGGCUGGAC